AUUGAACGCUGGCGGCAGGCCUAACACAUGCAAGUCGAGCGGUAGCACAGAGAGCUUGCUCUCGGGUGACGAGCGGCGGACGGGUGAGUAAUGUCUGGGAAACUGCCUGAUGGAGGGGGAUAACUACUGGAAACGGUAGCUAAUACCGCAUAACGUCGCAAGACCAAAGUGGGGGACCUUCGGGCCUCAUGCCAUCAGAUGUGCCCAGAUGGGAUUAGCUAGUAGGUGGGGUAACGGCUCACCUAGGCGACGAUCCCUAGCUGGUCUGAGAGGAUGACCAGCCACACUGGAACUGAGACACGGUCCAGACUCCUACGGGAGGCAGCAGUGGGGAAUAUUGCACAAUGGGCGCAAGCCUGAUGCAGCCAUGCCGCGUGUGUGAAGAAGGCCUUCGGGUUGUAAAGCACUUUCAGCGGGGAGGAAGGCGAUAAGGUUAAUAACCUCAUCGAUUGACGUUACCCGCAGAAGAAGCACCGGCUAACUCCGUGCCAGCAGCCGCGGUAAUACGGAGGGUGCAAGCGUUAAUCGGAAUUACUGGGCGUAAAGCGCACGCAGGCGGUCUGUCAAGUCGGAUGUGAAAUCCCCGGGCUCAACCUGGGAACUGCAUUCGAAACUGGCAGGCUAGAGUCUUGUAGAGGGGGGUAGAAUUCCAGGUGUAGCGGUGAAAUGCGUAUAGAUCUGGAGGAAUACCGGUGGCGAAGGCGGCCCCCUGGACAAAGACUGACGCUCAGGUGCGAAAGCGUGGGGAGCAAACAGGAUUAGAUACCCUGGUAGUCCACGCCGUAAACGAUGUCGAUUUGGAGGUUGUGCCCUUGAGGCGUGGCUUCCGGAGCUAACGCGUUAAAUCGACCGCCUGGGGAGUACGGCCGCAAGGUUAAAACUCAAAUGAAUUGACGGGGGCCCGCACAAGCGGUGGAGCAUGUGGUUUAAUUCGAUGCAACGCGAAGAACCUUACCUGGUCUUGACAUCCACAGAACUUUCCAGAGAUGGAUUGGUGCCUUCGGGAACUGUGAGACAGGUGCUGCAUGGCUGUCGUCAGCUCGUGUUGUGAAAUGUUGGGUUAAGUCCCGCAACGAGCGCAACCCUUAUCCUUUGUUGCCAGCGGUUAGGCCGGGAACUCAAAGGAGACUGCCAGUGAUAAACUGGAGGAAGGUGGGGAUGACGUCAAGUCAUCAUGGCCCUUACGACCAGGGCUACACACGUGCUACAAUGGCAUAUACAAAGAGAAGCGACCUCGCGAGAGCAAGCGGACCUCAUAAAGUAUGUCGUAGUCCGGAUUGGAGUCUGCAACUCGACUCCAUGAAGUCGGAAUCGCUAGUAAUCGUAGAUCAGAAUGCUACGGUGAAUACGUUCCCGGGCCUUGUACACACCGCCCGUCACACCAUGGGAGUGGGUUGCAAAAGAAGUAGGUAGCUUAACCUUCGGGAGGGCGCUUACCACUUUGUGAUUCAUGACUGGGGUGA
This 1463-nucleotide ribosomal RNA is filed under the name uncultured Klebsiella sp. RNAcentral's name for it is "bacterial SSU rRNA". It matches the Rfam family "Bacterial small subunit ribosomal RNA". Lineage: Bacteria; Pseudomonadati; Pseudomonadota; Gammaproteobacteria; Enterobacterales; Enterobacteriaceae. The record is from RNAcentral.